ACGGGUGAGUAACGCGUAGGUAACCUGCCUGGUAGCGGGGGAUAACUAUUGGAAACGAUAGCUAAUACCGCAUAACAGUAGAUGUUGCAUGACAUUUGCUUAAAAGGUGCAAUUGCAUCACUACCAGAUGGACCUGCGUUGUAUUAGCUAGUUGGUGGGGUAACGGCUCACCAAGGCGACGAUACAUAGCCGACCUGAGAGGGUGAUCGGCCACACUGGGACUGAGACACGGCCCAGACUCCUACGGGAGGCAGCAGUGGGGAAUAUUGCGCAAUGGGGGCAACCCUGACGCAGCCAUGCCGCGUGAAUGAAGAAGGCCUUCGGGUUGUAAAGUUCUUUCGGUAGCGAGGAAGGCAUUUAGUUUAAUAGACUAGGUGAUUGACGUUAACUACAGAAGAAGCACCGGCUAACUCCGUGCCAGCAGCCGCGGUAAUACGGAGGGUGCGAGCGUUAAUCGGAAUAACUGGGCGUAAAGGGCACGCAGGCGGUGACUUAAGUGAGGUGUGAAAGCCCCGGGCUUAACCUGGGAAUUGCAUUUCAUACUGGGUCGCUAGAGUACUUUAGGGAGGGGUAGAAUUCCACGUGUAGCGGUGAAAUGCGUAGAGAUGUGGAGGAAUACCGAAGGCGAAGGCAGCCCCUUGGGAAUGUACUGACGCUC
RNAcentral lists this ribosomal RNA (658 nucleotides) under uncultured bacterium. RNAcentral's name for it is "bacterial SSU rRNA". It matches the Rfam family "Bacterial small subunit ribosomal RNA", at positions 102 to 748 of the family's 1533-position model. The record is from RNAcentral.